This 9234-nucleotide unclassified non-coding RNA is filed under the name Daphnia magna. Its description in RNAcentral is "uncharacterized LOC116923204, transcript variant X13". The record is from RNAcentral. Lineage: Eukaryota; Metazoa; Arthropoda; Branchiopoda; Diplostraca; Daphniidae.
CAAAACGAGUUGCUGAACUUGGAAAACUUGAAAAAUCCAAUGACUUUGCUUCAACUGGGUCUGACUGUGCGUUACCUUUGUGUUCUCAUCCUUUUUGGCGCGCUGAGAAAAAAUGGAGUCAACGCCUGCAAAAAGAAUACUCUGCGCAGGAGAAAUGUACAUUUUGGCGCGCCUUCUUUAUCUCCUGCACCGAAAUGGCCGACCAACCAAACCAUGGCUGUUUAGACUGACCUUCGACCUCCUCCCAGCUGCUGACGAAUAAAACCCGCCCAAAAGAGAAAAGUUGCUCGUCUAUGGUGAUGGUAGUGACGUCACGACGCAUCUGUCAGUCAACUUGGCAUAGCCCUUCUCAUUAAGACGGAGAGAAUGCCACGUUUCAUCAAUGAACUACAACGAUGCGAACGCGGGAAUACGUCUGGAUAAAACAAAAACAAAGGAGGGCGAUUCCUGACAUCGUGUGUACGAUCUCCCAAACAAGGCGGAAAUUUCCGGACGGCGGGAGUGCCGAUAAAAACGAAAAUCCCAACGAUAACAUCGGAGGAGGACAAUCUCGAUGUACCAACACCAUCCGGCUCUUCAUAUCUGGGGACAACACAAUCAUCGAUGGAAGUCUUCGACUCGACCACGAGAUGGCAGCGGUUACCGACUCGGUCGCGAUGGGGUCUCGAGUGGUUGCGGAACUAGGACUUUUCACACACACAAAACGAACGGAGUUGGGAAAGAGGAGGACCGCCGCGCUUGAUGGUUAAUGGUCGCUCUACGCUGCAGAGUGUUGGCACGUUGAUUGAGGAAGUUUUCCUUUCGCUUUGAGGGCUGGCGCAGUUGAGACCUGGCCGGUGGUGAACGAUCGACUAGUCCGGUUGCCUGCCAGUGAAAGAGAGUCGUCUUCUCCUAGUUGGCCGCCACCCCCGAAGAUGUUUGCCACUCGACAAUCGACGAUGAGGAGGAGGAAGAAGAAAAAGGGUGUACGCCGCGGCGCAGCAGCAGCAGCAACCCUUUUGUGUUGGUCCCCAGUAGCGACAAUUGCGACUCGGCAACAUUGCGGCGCUAAUGAUUGUUUGGAGGGCAAUUUUCGAACGAUGCGCGUUCACACGCAGACACAAGGAACUGAAGGGGAGCCAUUCAGCUGAAGGCAUAACCAAAGAAGGAGGAAGAAAUUGGAUCUGAAAGUGAACCAGUUGGGAGCGUUUGCAUCCACAUCAAGCCCCCCCAAAAUGACGACCGAGUAGAAGGCAGUGGGAAGGAACAAGCUGAUGUGUAAAUAAGAGAGCCAUUAGCCAUCGCUGCAUCACCACGUGGUUCGCGCCGAAAGUGAAGCCAACUUUUCACAGUGCCCAUUGAAUAACUGUCGGCCAGACUUCUUCCCUACCACGAGCCUUUCUCCUCCGCCAUUGUCUAUUCUCUUAAAUUGUGCCGAUUGCCAAUGGAUUUCUUAUCGGAGGACACACACACACAAAAAAAGAGACACGGACCUUGUGCGGGUCGUUAUCUUCUCGAACCUGAGGUGAAGAUCGCGGUGGAGACACUAAUUAUACCGAGCCUCGUUGUGAAAAGAUUUUCUCGGCGCUUAACCAACGGUAGCAGAAUGACGGGUUUUUUUCCCCAAAAGCAGCGGGUUUAUUUCGUCCCUAAACACAAGGCCUCUUGUGCUACCCAAGUCGCUGGCCUCGAGUUAAAUCACCAAACAUCUACCGACGGAUAUGGAAUCGGUUUGAAAGUGGCGCCGUCGGAUAGAGAGACCAUCCGAGAACGACAUCAGCAGAUGGUUUGAUAGAGCCAUUAGAAUAAUAACCGUGUAAUUGCAAGAUGGUGGUCGAAACGAGCCCUUUUGUCGAUUGACAAUGCAAUGAGAUCAUUUCCCGGUGGCAUAACAUUCUAUUGGACAUUUUCGUGCCAUCGCCGGAAUGAUGGUAGGACGUUUCAAAUGCUAUUCAAAUAUUCUCUAGCAGUUUUCCUUCUCACGGACAAAGUCCCGAGUGUCAGGUCAAAUUCGAUCGCUUUUGAAAUGCAAUCCUUACCCAUCAUCACUAUACCACCACCUGCGAUAACAAAAUGCGCAUUCACGCCCGCUGCAACAUCAAUGACCAAUCCGAAACGAGCCGGAAUAGAACGAAAGGUAACACAUUCGCAUUAAGUUUUCUUUCCUUAUUUUAUUUAUUUAUUUCAUUUUUAUUUUUAUAUUUAUAAUGUUAUUUUCAUUUCCUUCUUCUUUCUCGCUCCCUUCCCAACAUUUUCUUAAUAUAAACCCCGUCAUCAGCAACGUGAACUGUGUGUGCGUCAGUAUUAAAUCAUUCGGCACCGUGCACACGCAGAGGGGGCUACGUGAAGGAAAAUAUAUUUAAAAAAAAAAAAAGGAGGAGAAGAUGAAGAGGUUCCGCAGAGCAAAUGCACACACUCCCCGCAAUCUUCUCCUCCUACUCCUUUCGGGCUAUCGUAGAGACGAAGAAGAAGAAGAAGAAAAAGAGUAUGAGAUUAAAAAAAGAAAAAAAAAGAAUUCCAAACGAAAAUAAUAUUUUCAUCAGACGAGAGAAUAAGCGAUGGUGGGAGGAGGGCUAGAUAGAUCGUAAAUUAAGCUCCCCCGCCAGAAGAGGUCGGGUGGGUGGGUGAAGCUGUGUGUGUGUAUAUAUAUAUAUACUAUAUGGCGGAGGAGAGAAAUAGAGAGAGAAGCAGGAGCAAGAGAGGAAAGAUAUACGAGCCGGGCGACGUCAGCCAAGUGCUGCUCUCUCUCUUCCUCGGUCGAUGGUUGGCUGGAGAAGAACUGCUUUUGCUGGGACCGAGAGCAGGGGGGGAGGGGGAGGCAGUUGGAUUUUUCCUAUAGGGCAGAGGCAUUUUCUCUUGUUAUAAAUCACUCGGCUGACUCGCCCGUCUUUUUUUCUUUCUUUUUCUUUCCCCCUUUAGCUCUUCGUCCAAGUUCACAGCUAAAAUGGGGAAUUUUUUUUUUGUUACGUGCUGGUGUAGUAGCCAAGAAAAAAAAAAUAAUGGUAAAUAAACUGGAGCGCAAUAGCAACUCCGCCACACUCAACAAAAAAUGGGCGAAUUUUGAUAGAACAUGGAACUUUGUUUACCAAACCGCUAAAUUUAUUUCAACUCCAAUAGCGAUUCGGUGUACCAUUUCCUUUUACAUAAUAGAGUGUAUAGGGGAGGGGGGGUUACGUUUGUCUCUUCUACGAUAGGAUUUUUCUCCAUAGAAGGAUCCGACCAACUAUGUAAUAGAGAAACUUCGCAUGCACCGCAGUAUGGAAGGCGUUUGGGGAGAGGGGCUUGACUUUGACGGAGGGUUGGUGUAGUAAUACAUAAAAGUGGAUUGUCUCUCGUUUCGUUUCUCAUUCUUCAAUAAGAGGAAUCGAAGAAGAAUAGAGAAUUUCAAAGGACUUAUUGCGGGCCGCUUAUUGUUUGACGCAUUGUCUUGUUGAUGGGGGCCCCGGCUGCUGGGAAUUUUCAAACUGCGAUCGAGAGCGAAGGUUCGAUCUGCUCUUUUGUGUCCCUCACUGCCGCUGGCUCUACUCGCGUUUGUCUCUUUAAUACGAAUGUCGGCAGUAAAAACGAACCAAUAAGGUUUGCUCCAGUUUUACCGCCAAUUGGAUACCUGUAGCUUCACUAGAACAUAACAUUUAAGUUUAAUGGCAGCGUUUCAAUAACUUCAACCCUCUGUCCCUUUUUGUUUUUUCGAUUGUUGUAAAACAAUGGGAUUAACUCGUAAGUCCCUUUGAAUUCUUUGCUGUUCGGGUUUUAAAUCUUGGAUAUUUAAAAGAAGAAAGAAGAAGAAAGAGAUCAGCUGGCAGGGAAAAUGUGUGUUUCAUUAAUACUCACGUCGCCCAGGGUUAAGUGGAAAGUCGCUUUCCGUGCUCUGCAAGACGCGAUCCUUAACAAGAACAACAGCAAUGAAGAAAGAGGUCAUUCUCUCACGUCUUCAUCUAGCCAGGAAGGAGGAGAGAGAGAAGAAAAAAGAGUUAUUAGAUGCAACAUAACAUUUCUUCUUAUUUAUUUAUUUUUUUUUUUCUUUCCCGGGGUAUUUUCCUAUUAUUAUUCGGAGCUAUGAGGGUUUUUUUUUUAUUUAUUUCUCCCGGUGAUGUAUUACUUAGUUAUCAUACCCCAGGUAUAUAUACACGGAACCGUGUGCGUAGCCCUUCUAUUUUUUCUUUCUUUACUAGUAGGCUACAUAUAUAGUAUAUAAAUAUAGACGGCACGGACAACACGCUCACGACGAGACACAAAGAUGGAAUACCUUGGCGUCUGUCAGCCAAUGGGCACAAAGAGAAGAAGAACCGCCGCUGGUGUGCCCCAGGUGCAGGCACGUAAUUAAGUUGAGAGACUUUGAAAAAGAAGAAGAGCCUAGGGCGAAGGCAGUCCUCGUGUAAUUACGCAUGGUUGGCCGAGUUGUGUGUACUCGUCGUACGUCUUCUCCUACGUGAUUGGUCACCGGCUUUCCUUUGCACUUAAAAAAAAGGGAGACAUAAGGAAUUUAAGAAAAAGGGAAGAUACACACAAUUUGUGUGUGUGUGUGUGUGUGUGUGUGUGUGUUUGUGUGUACAAAAGAAAACGAGAAUUAGAAAUAUGAACAGCGCAUUUAUUCGACUGUGUGUGUACUAUUGUUGUGCUGGCGUAAGACGGAAAGAAGAAAUAAAAAUUCCCGCCUCGCCCGCGCAAAACUGGCGCUGUUCAAUGACUUGAUUAGCUAAGCUUGAAUGCGCCUUCUUCUUCUUUUUUUUCUUUUUUGUUGUUGGUACUUUGACUCUUACGCAUAACGCGCUUGUACAUUAGCUUCGAAAGCUCUAUACGUGGGCUUCACAAUAACUUGGACGCAGCGGGUUACUCGCUGCCUGCGCUCUUCGGCUCUGUUGUAAAUCACAUGUCGGGUUCGGAUAUGAUUAAAUGCUUCUUAGUUUGCUUUUUUUUUACGCUUUUUUUUUAUUUUCUUUCUUUGUUGCAAGAUCGGCCACAACCAGCAAUCCAAGAAAUCCUUGGAUUGCUUUUUUCGCUGGUGCUUUAAAAUAUAUAUUUGUAAUUGCCCCCCAAAAAAACAUCAAUGGCAACGCUAAAGAAACAUUCGUGUUGUUUUGUUGCUAGUUUUUUUUUUAAGUCCGCUUAUUUUUGAAAUUACUCUUGGCAAUAACUGUGUGUUAUUUUUCUUUGGCGCAUGGCUUUGCAUGUUUUAAUUUUUCUUUAAAUGAUAACUGUGGUAUAGAUCUAUAUCCCGCCUGCACUGUAACCACGACGUCGUUAACGCUUCUUUAUAAUUCAGGGUCAUUUUCUGUUUUUCUAGCCGCAAAUACAGUCAGCGAUUGCGAUUUCAACAUUUGCUGACGGGCAUAAGUCACGUAGUGCUUUGCUUUUGUAACGGAGUUUAAAAAAACAAACAAAAACAAUUUUAAUUUAGCCUCGAUUUCCAUGCAAACAGCAUCGUCUGAUAUAUAUUUGUAAUAUAUAGCAAACCGAAACACUCGGUGCCCUGAAUGGUAACGCAGCGCACCGGAAAGCUCGUCUUAUAUUGGAAGUCACUGCCAGUGCAAUACGCGUCCUUUCUUUUCCAGUUUGUCAGCCAGCAGUUGAUGGAAAUAUUAUGAGAAUAUGGGGUUGUUUUUUUUUUUCUUCUUCUUCUUUUCUCUCGUUUUUAUUUUUAUUUAUUUUUUUGUACGUUUUCUAUAUAUCCAUCCAUCCUUCUCUACUGUUAGUCUCUCGGCAGCCGGCGUUGCUUGCUGUUCAUUGGUUGCAUAGAGUAGACAAUAUGACGCAAUAAGUCUCUCUCUUUCUCUCCCCUCCUUUUCUGACACACGCUGGCGCUGCCUGGCUUGUUUCACAUUUUCGAGAGAGACCCCCUCGUCAGUGUCUCGUAUAACCCAUCCGCCAGAUGGAAACUAUCGUUUACAACCUCAAAAUGGGCUAUAUGGGCCUGUUAGACGAUGACGUGGGGCAUUGCCUAUAGGAGGAUAACACAUCACCGGCAAUUCAUUUCGCAUCGUUAUAUAUACGCGCACACAGUUACGAGUUGUAAUAGUGGUAGUAGUACACACUAGUGCAGUCGUCGUUUUAUUGGUCCACUAAAAAGGCAAACAAGCGCUUACUCCAACCGCAUUAUGAGGUGUCGAUUAAAGAGCCUUCAAAUUGAUAUUUCAUACAGAAAGUUGUAACUCAUUUUUUCUUUUUUGGUGGGAAUUUAUUUCAAGUUAUUUUCAUACGAAGAGCUUUAAUUCCAAGAAUACAAACACGAUAGAGUGUGCAAUAAGUCAAGCCAAAGCGCUUUAGAUAUGGACAUGUAUAUUGAACCCCUCUGUCUUCUCUCUUUUCCUCUGUGUAUUUACGCUAUCAAAAGGGGGGGGGGGAUGAUUGGUAUUCCAAUCAGAUUGGCUUGUGGACUUUGGGGAAGAUACAAGUUUCAGCUCCUCUCCAACUCGGCGAGAAUGUUAUCGUAAAGUGGGCGAAAACUAGCAACAACAAAAAACGGAGCAAUUCUUAUUUUUUUUCCCCUCUUUUUUCUUUUUCUUUUGUACUCCACUAUACUUUGACUCCCGUUUUCGAUUCAUUAUAAAAUGCUAAUGCGCAGUUUCGUGUGUGUGUGUGUGUGUUGGCGUGUGGUUUUCCUCGAGCGCCCGAGGUCUAUCGUUUCUUUCUUUUCCCUUUUGUGUUGCUGGGCUCUCCAGUUAAGAGGAACAGCCUCAGCAUGUUCAUUCAGGUAACACUGACUUGCAUCUAGGACAAGAGAAAUGAAGACGUUUGGCCGUCGCGGCAUGAAAGGGGAGGAUAAAAGAAAAUGAUGAACGCGGGCAAGAAGAAUAGACGAAGACGUAGAAGUUGAGUCUAACCUUUAUAAUAAUAACGAGCAAUUAUAUCCGGGGAAAGAGGAGAAGAAAAAAAAAAAUAUAUAUAUAUAUAAGAAGGGUGCUGUCUGUAUAAUUACGAACGCUUUGCCCCGCCAUUGGACCGACAGUUCUCUCUCUAUCUAAAGUUUCAUGUUAAUGUCUUUUUUCUUUUCUUAUUCUCAACUUGUUUCUUGUGUAUAAUUCGGGGCCUGCUGGCGUGUGGGUGUGGCAAACUCGCAUCCGUGUUCACGGUGGAGGCGGGCAGCGAGGCGAUGAUGCAUAUGCUCAUAAUGUUAUAUUAUCUUGAUACUACACUCUUUUUUUUCUAUUUUUUUAUUUUAAGCUUUUGUUUUUCUUCUUUUUUCAGAGUGUCUUUUGGAAGAAAAAAAAAGGGAAAGAUUUUCAACGCAAGCAUCAUCUUGUUUGAAUCUUAUAUUUGUUCCAGUCUCAGCUCAGCCGUGCUGUACCAUAUAUACUUCAUUUUCCAGUCCAACAAACCGGGACGUGCCGGGCACGGCUCUCAAUUUUUAUUUCCCUCCUAUCCACGCUCCGUUUUGGCCCUCCUCCCCCGUAACUGAUGAAAGGAGGGCUGCUGCUGGAAACGGACAGGGCCGUAAAGCUUGAGAGCUCCUCGUGUGUACACGCUUGGCCGGCUCCGGCAGCACGGAAUCCGACAUACUUCGCUACCAGUUUCUCUUUCUUUUUUUUUUCUUUUUUUUCCAUCCGUCCGUUUUCUCUCCCCUUAAAGAGCCGACUGUUUGUUUUCGUUUCCGUCCGAGGUCGAGCGUGCGUUUUCUGCAGUGCAGCAGCCAGGAACGAGAAAGAUUUGUAUUCCUCUUUUAAAAAAAAAAUCUUCAUUUUAUCGCGUCUUCUCCUUGGCUUCUUUUCGUAUUGGAUAAAUGAUUUCAGAGUAAAGAGAGAGUUACAAAACGAACAAACGGAACUGAAUCGAUCAUUUCUUAGUUUGACACGAAACAGGAGGGCUUUUGUCGCACUGUUUUCAUUUGCAAUGAAUUUAUUUGGUUUUUACCUAGUGUGCACGUAACACUACACUUUGUCCCAAAGUUUGAGCCGUUUUCAUCUUAGCAUAGAAUGAUAAACAAGAGGGGAAAUAAGUCGUCGUUUCUAAUCGCAUUAGACGCAAGUGCAACACAAGCAACGACGGGCCAAACAACUCAGAAGAAAAAAAAAAAAAAAUCAGCUGAUGAGCGCUUCUUUUCUCUUUCCGUUUUGCCGCUAUUCUUUUCUUCUCUUUUAUACAUUAUGGAUUUUCUUAUGUCUGCUUGCGCACAUAUAUCUUGAGCCAGGGGCUUUUGCUGCACUGCUGUGAUUAAGAUGGCAAUUUCCUUGGGAGCGUUGCUGCUGCCGCCUUCCUCCACCUCCUCUAUGUAACAUCGAUUGUAUCAAAGUGCCAUCCAUACAUCUUAGGCGGCCUCCGCCUCCUCUAGACGACAAGUCUCUCUCUCCUUCGUCCUAAAUCAUGGAAGAGAAAGAAAGACAAAAAAAAAAAUGAACAAGAGGAAGAAUAACAACUUGAUAUCUUUCUGCCUUUUUAUUUUUGUUUCCCGCAAGUUCUGCUAUGUUUAUUUAUUAUCUUUUCUUCAUUUCACAUUUAGAACAACAACAAACACAAUUUCACAUGGAAAGAGAGCUGAUGUCUUAACAAUGAUGUUACUUCAUUGUAGAAGAAAUUGAAGAUUGUGGGGAAGAGGCGGAGUUUCAGUUGACUUGCCUGAACUUUAUUGGGCUGGACGGGAGUGACGAACCAGCGGAGAGCACGAGCCAGAGAUUCCUGUUUGGCGCACUUCCCAUUUCAUCCAUCUGCGAUGCCAGAUGAGUCACUAUACGAUGAGGGUUGUAAUGGUUUGCCUCCCUCUGAAAUGAUCACCAAUCGCCAAGAAUACUCAGCAGAUACGUUCAGAAGCAGCCCGGCCAGGGACCUGGCAGCUAAGCCUCGUUUAUCGCACAUAAAAUCUGAAAGCCUAACGCAGUUUCGGUGACAAAUGAUUCCAUAACCCGAUCCAGAGAAUGCGUUAUUAAAAAUAGAAGCACGGCAAAGCGUUUGUAAUGACCGCCAUCUGUUAGCAAGUUGUACAACCCCAUAAAAUAAGAAAACGAACAAAAACCCUGCUUUUUUCCCGAAGUUAAGAAAUAGGGAGAGAUUUUCGAUGCUGUAGAGUUUCAUAGUUCGAUAUUCUAACGAGGGAAAAAUGAAGUCUCAUUGAAAGAGAUAGACCCUUCCGGCUGGAACCCAUUUGAUUAACCCCAGUACAUUGACGAACUAAGAAGUGUUUUUAAAUGUGUAACGAAGAAGAUGUGCCCAAACCUCGUUCAGUGACACGCGACAGUGUUAACGAAGCCCGUGUAUCAUUGUAAGAGAUAUUGCUGUCCGUAAAGAAACAGUCCUUCUUUCAAUAAAAUUGACAGUUUAGAGUAA